Long non-coding RNA from Bufo gargarizans (Asiatic toad), 188 nucleotides. RefSeq lists it as uncharacterized. NCBI's taxonomy places the organism in Eukaryota, Metazoa, Chordata, Amphibia, Anura, Bufonidae. The transcript is spliced from 3 exons. The record is from RefSeq and is a predicted model, not a curated record.
GUGAGAGGAGGCGUGUGUGUGCUCAGUGCUCCUGCAUGGUUUACUAUCAAUAUCACCCAACCGGCUACCUGACUGCUUACCACCAGGUAUUACAUCCUUAAAUAUCUAAAGCAAGCAAAGAUAUUGACUACCUGGAAUUUACAUUCUCCUGAGGUCUUCCAUAAGAUUUUCCAGUACGUCACUUUGCC